RNAcentral lists this long non-coding RNA (1659 nucleotides) under Nicotiana tabacum (common tobacco). RNAcentral's name for it is "long non-coding RNA (NTAB_LNC004858)". Lineage: Eukaryota; Viridiplantae; Streptophyta; Magnoliopsida; Solanales; Solanaceae. The record is from RNAcentral.
CUCCUAAACGCUUGAUUCUUAUGAAAUAUAUUAGAAACUCAUUCUGUCUUUUUUCUUUUCAAAAACUUUUCAACAUUUGGUCCAAAGCAGCUGAACAACUUGAUUACCUUCAAAAAAAAUUGCUCUGUCAAUAUAUAAAAAUUGACAAAUGUGUCAAGAUAUCAUCAACUAUAUGGUAAAGAAGGCUGUUCGAUUUAUUGAAAGGUAAAGUUCCACUACAGUAUCUCUUGUCCUCUGAAGGCGCCAUAAGUAAUAUGCAACCCGUUUCACUCUCUUCUUUGCCUUCAAAGUUGACUAUUUUGGCCUUUUAUCUCCAAGGUUCAUUCUUCUAUUUUCGGAAAUAUGAACAGUAGUAAUUUGCUAUAUCAUUCCUUCUAACAAUCUGUUCAUCGGACACUCAUAUUAUCUAGAAAGGAGAAAAUUAAAGGGCAAAUCGAAUAUGCCAGCGAUUCUCCAUGUUCUGAAAUUUCUGUGUUCUCUUAAAUAUUGACGGAAGAAAAGAAAAAGUACUUGGGGAUUCUCAUUUAUAUGCUUCUAAGAAUUGUUUUUUAGGAUUGUUUUCUACUUAAUUUUUCAAGAUUCAUGUAAAUUUAUUUUUCUUCUACUCAUAAUUAUGUUACCUAGCUUUUAAUGGGUUUUUUAUUUUCCAGUAUAUUGCUAAAAUAACACGAUCCAUCUUAUUAUAUGAAGUGUCGAAUAAGGAGAAACAAUUUAUAUAUAACAUGGUUUUAUUCUCAACAGUGAUCACAUAAGGCCUAAUCAUGGUUUCUAACAUGAAGUACAAUAAAUUCCAUGAAAACAUAGGGAACAUGUAUUAAACAGUAGGCCGAUUGAUUCCACAGUCUCACGGGAUGGACCAAAUCACAAUCUCAAAUGGUGCACGCCCACACGUCCAUCACCUAGCAUGUGCGUCACCUUCAAAAUAGUCAUACAACAUAAUGUCCGGGGUUUCAUACCCUCAGGACCAGAUUUAUAAUCGUUAUUUACCUCAACCCUGGCAAAAUCCUACUCUGAAAUGCCUUUGCCUCUCAAAUCGGCCUCCGAACGUCCCGAAUCUAGUCACAAUUAAUUUGUUUUAGUCAAUACAAUGUAUAUGAAUCAAUUCCGUAUGAAAUUACUAAUUUUCUAACAGAAUUCGAAAUUUAACUCAAAAAUUGCCUGUGGGGCCCACAUCUCGGAAUCCGGCAAAACUCAUUUAAUUACGAGUCCAACCAUACCAAUUUUACCAAAUUCCAAUAACAAAUCGACUUCCAAAUCUUAAAUUUAAGGUAUAGAAAAUCUUUACCAAUUUCAACCCAAUUUCAAAUAUAUGAGCAUAUCUCGAGGUUCUAAAUCUCAAAUCAUAAAUCUACAGGUGAAAAUUUUCUUUUAAAAAUUAAAAUCCAGCUCGUUUUUCAAUUAGAAAUCUCAUAUUUGAAUACCCAUGUCAAAAGAAUAAUAAUUAUGUCAUAAAAUAGUUUAAUACCUUGAAUGAAAAUUAAGUACAAUUGUAGUUUGUGUUUGUUGGGCAUACUGUUGCUUCGUCUGAAAACCACGAAUUGGAGGACAUUUAAUUUGCCUUGAAUCUCGAUAGAACAAGGUUGAAAAGCUUCGUAAUAGAUUCAAUGGCCUUUGGAAUACUACUGUCAGAAGCUCCCUUUAACUUUUCCCAUCAUUAUC